GGCAAGAUGGCCGAGCGGUCUAAGGCGCUGGAAUCAGGCUUACGUAAAUUUCAUCGCGUGAUCUAUCCAGUCCGAAAGGGCACGAGUUCGAAUCUCGUUCUUGUCA
Molecule: transfer RNA, 106 nt
Organism: Paxillus involutus ATCC 200175
Lineage: Eukaryota; Fungi; Basidiomycota; Agaricomycetes; Boletales; Paxillaceae
Rfam family: tRNA
About the family: Transfer RNA (tRNA) molecules are approximately 80 nucleotides in length. Their secondary structure includes four short double-helical elements and three loops (D, anti-codon, and T loops).
Source: Rfam